CUCAGGACAAGAGAUGGAAUCUGCAGUGUCUUUUAUGACCUCGACCUGGGGCCACACUGUCACCUCUGUGACAGUCUGUUGGGUGCACAGACAAGCCCUAGAAGGACAUGGGGAGCCUGCACGAGGGUUUGAACACCAGGAGGCAGACAUCACGGGGGCACAGGCUGCCCUCUGGCCAUGAUCCGCUCCCUCUCAUGAGCAAACGCGCCCACGCCCUCCAGGCCCCAGAGUCUCAUCCUGUCACAGCAGCAGCUCGAGUCUUAACAACGUCGUGGGUCUCCUGUGGACCUUUUGGAGUUCAUUCCAUUGGUCAGACACCAAGUUCACGGUCUCUUUGAGGGUCGCCAGCAGCUUUCGGGCCCUGCCGUCUGCUGUCUGCUGUCUGGAGACCUGGGGCCACGGUUCAUUCUCUCCCGGGUUCUGAGUGUCCUGUGACACAGCAGCUGCCCCCCCACAGCCAGUGACCCAGGAGACGGAGAGCAGCGAGACGUGAGCCACCUGUCCUUACAACCUGAUCUUGGAAGUGACAUGGCGUUGCGACCAGGCCCGCCACUGCUGCUGUGCAACUCAUGUGAACACACGGAAGCUGGAACCUUCCGUAGCACACGGCCAAAACACAUUUCCCAAAUAUGCUCACACUGGCGAGGAAACAGACACAGCAGGUGGGGAGCUGGGAGCCCCCUUACUUGCCAGGGCCACAAGAAUGUCGAAGGCAGACCACGUGCCUCCCACACCUGACCGUCUCGGGAAGCGGCUGGUGGAAGGAUCUAGAAGGUGGUGGGUGUCGGGUGCUCCUCUCCGCUCUCUGCUCUUUGAUGCUGUUGUGCUCAGUCUGCGUCUCAGAUGUGUUUCCUACCAGGGGACCCUGAUACGGUGCAGCCGAGGAGCAUGGACGGGCCGUGGGUCAGCGUGAUGCAGACUUCCCCAGUGGUCCUCAGGGGCAGGCACUGGGGAGGGGGGCAGGCUGCCAGGUACACGGGGGUGCCCAGCCGGGGUUUUGGAAUGAAAGCAGGAAGGAAGGAAGAGAGAGAGAGGGAGACAGGAAGAAAAGGAGGAAGGAAAGAAGGAGGGAGGAACGGAGGGAGGAAGGAAGGAAGGAAAGGAGGGAGGGAGAAAAAGACUUUCACGCUCCUCAGACCCUGGUCUCUAAUCCCUCCUCUCAGAGCAGCAGCAUCUUGGGUCACCGAGGAUGCGAAGGUGACUGGAGGACUCGGGGCCUCUGUGGGGCGUCCUCCACUUCCCAAAGGUACAGGCAGACAAGCAGAGUGGACAGCGGGUUAUAUGACACCAGGGGACAGGGGUCCUAGAGCUAGGGUCCCUCCCCCAGGGCACUGACUACAGACCCAUGAGCUCUCCCUCUGGCCAACCUCCAGCCUCACCCACGCUGCCCACCUCCCCUGCUCUCCCCACACGCUCAUCACUGCCUCAACCUUGCCCACACCCUGACAUGCACUGGCCUGGCCAGCAGGAGCGGACUGACCGCUCGUCAUGAUUGCCUCAUCAGACAGAUUCUCAGGGACUUGGAGGGGACCAAGCGUCAAGCUAGGGAAUCAAGAAAAAGACCCUCAGCAGUCCCGUGGGUGGACAAGGACAGACGGAGAGGGCAAGGCCCGAGGAAUCGCCUCGAUGCUGAGCGUGGACGUGUGACGUGGAUGAAGGGUCCUCGCGCCAGGCCUGGCUCCGGGCAAGGGUUGACUGGCUGUGUGGCAGCCCAGAGCCCCUCCAGCUGGGCCCCCCACGCUGGGCCCCCCACGCCCUUUCCCUCCUCAGUUCUUGGUCUUCCGCACUCGGAGUCUGCUGGGGCAGAGGGAAUGUCCCCCUUGGCCCCCAGGUGCCAGAUUUGUGGGGACUCUGCAGAAACGAACCUGGUAAGUGGCUUCUCAUCUCAGAUGCCGGCUCAGCUGUCCGAGGUCACUGCCGCACCCGCCUGCCAGCACUUCUCCUCCAUGGUCCUAAACUGGGGUGGUGGCAGCUUUGGCCGCAUGGCCAGUGCCUUUUUAUGUCUGUUUCAAAACCAAAAAGGCCUGCCCUGAAUCUACCCUCAAAGGAAAGCGUUACGGGAGACGAGACAGAAUUAAAAGCAGCCCUUUAUCUGCUCCAGGGGCUCUGCACCCCCUCCCAACCCUGGCAGCAAAGUCGCCUCUGACUGUCAUAAACCAGCAGCUCCCUGGGAUUCCAGAUGUGAGCCGUUGGAUCGGAAUUUACGACGCCUGGAGCUGAAGGCCACUUCCGUCCUCCCACGGGGCAGAGGGCGGGGAAGUGCCCCACAGACAAAGAACCGGAUGGACAAAGGUUUCCCCCGUUACAGGGGACCGGGUGGGCGCCCUGUGCACAAUGUGCUCUCCCCAGCGCAUGUUCUGAUCCCAACAGCUCCGUCCCUGCUAACGGGAAGCCCCUCCAGGCCCUCAGACUGGAACAUAAAUAACCGCGCAUCCUGCACGAGGUGACGCGAUCUUAAGUGGAGACACUUGCGGAGUCAGGUGUGUGUAUUGUCUGCCUCCUCCAAGUGCAGGCGUUUCAGAGAGACGGACAAACUCAAGCCGCUCUGAGGAUUUGCUGAGUAUCUUAAAUGAUUACAGUUUUCAUAGUAUAGAUUGAUAAAGCUCCACCUGGUUUUGGCCGAGUCCACUUCCCGGUACCUUAGACAUGCACAUCAUGGAGAGAAAAAAGCAGCACAGAUGUUCUGAUUCAUUCACAUUUUGGAGAAACAUAUCCAAUAUUCAGAGAUUCAGCCUCCUCCUAGGCCCCCGCCCUGCAGGGCUGAGGAGGAGGCGCAGGGAUCUGGGAGGCAACAGCUCAGGUGCCCACGGGCCAAGCGGAGGGCUCUGCUCGGAGCUGUGUGAGGGGGAAGGGGCUCUUCCCGGGCUGAUAUUUCAUGGUUUGUAAAGUGUCCGACUCCCGGCCUCUCAGUCUGCAGAACGGGUGGCCCCAGGCGCACACGAGGCAGGCUCCUCCCACCUCUCUGCGCACCUGCACCACGGGGCCCAGUGCUGCUCUGCCCUCGUCAGCGUUCAGGUCCCCAGGACCCCGCACCCGCUCUGCUCUGCCCCAAAGCCGACCUUCUCCUCUAAGCCUCCCUUGAGCGUGAGUGGGGUCUGUCUGCCCAGGAUCUGCACAGACAGACAAAACCGAGCCGUGCGUUCUCGCCAGCUUCACGUUAAGAUCUGUCCCUGCUGCUCUGAGAACGGCCGCUUGUCUUUCUUCCUCUCGUCCACUUUCUCAGUGCCUCCCUGCCAUCGGUUUAGAGAUUCUAUGUCAGGAUUAAAGAGGAGACAGAGGGUGACAGACAGUCAGACAACCGGAGACCAGAAAUCUCAGCCACAUCACCAACAGCCGAAGGCCCCAGUCUGGAGACAACUGGCGAGAAGUCGUUGUUUUCUAGAAUGAGGUUCAGACAACGUCCUGUGACAGGGGACCCCGUCCGGGACCAUCAGGCCUCAGCAUUUCAGUUCCCCACCUCCUAGAGACGCGGAAAACAGCCAGGAUAGGAGGCCACGUGCAGCGGCAAACUCAUACCUCACUCGUUUUCUCUAAGGAAAGCUGGCGAAGUUUGGGUGAGGACGAAGCCAGAAAAUCAGAAGCUGCUGCUCACGCUCUGGGAAUGGGUGCCCCUCGGAUGUCAGCUCCUGCUGGGCUUCUGGGAGGGAGCACGAUCCCUGCUGGAUGGUAAAUCACCAAAAACGCGUCAACCCACCCGUACAGGAAGGUUCCCAGCCAGGGGGAGAAGAGAGCUUCCUCGUUUCCAGGAGUGAAGCCAACGUCCUCUCUUCAUAAGCAAGAACCACAGAUGAACAGAGAAAAUACAUUUUCAGUAGCCAGCCGUCAUUGAGACCUUUCUAGGUACAAAACCGUCUUCCGAUCAGUUCACGCACAUUAAUACGCUGAGUCGUCUCCUCAGCCCGGGGAGGGAAGCCCCUCAGGACCCAUUGACAGAUGUGGAAACAGAGGCGCCAGAAGAGGAACAGCACCUGAGGGCGCCGGCUGGCGCGUGCAGGGCUGAGCUUCACGGGCGGCAGCUUCAGAGGGGUGGGUCCCUACGUGGGGCACGUCAGGGUGCAGGCCAGGACCUACCCCUCCUGGAGGGCGGAAAGAGGAGCCUGUGAGUCAGUGAGCCAACAGCCACGGCCUGCUGGUGACAGGCAGACCCAGAGGACAAAGGUAUCCGGGGGCUUCUCCCUUCCUGAAGCGCCAAAACUCAGAAACCAUCAACAGCAGUCUCCUCUGGGUGCGACAUGAAGAAAGAAAAUUAAUGCAGCUGCUCAGACUCAAGGACUCGCGCUCCUCCCAGCGCCCCUCACCUCUGAAUCACCACCUCUGGCUGAGGACAGGGGCUCCUGGGCUCAAUAUCGUGAGGCUCUCGGCUGAACGGAGUGAUCUGGAUCAUACUCCUUUGCCUAAAACUAAAUGCACGAUGCGACCCGUCCCUUUUCAAAUAAAGUAGGACGAACCACACACCCCGUCAGUGCGGACGGUGGUGUAACGAGGGCGAAGGCCCCAGCACCAGGGUCUUGGGCAGGAACUCUCCCUGGACACACCGUGCUCUGCACACGCCCGCUUUCUCCCCUGGGAUGCCCUCUCCUGUCUUGAUGUGGACUUUCACUGGUUAUUCUUCUCUCUGAUAAUUAAAUUAUUUUCAUAGUGUUUUAAUUACAUUCAUAGC
This 4660-nucleotide long non-coding RNA is filed under the name Equus caballus (horse). RNAcentral's name for it is "lncRNA (ENSECAG00000059686.1)". Lineage: Eukaryota; Metazoa; Chordata; Mammalia; Perissodactyla; Equidae. The record is from RNAcentral.